GCAGUCGAGCGGACAGAUGGGAGCUUGCUCCCUGAUGUUAGCGGCGGACGGGUGAGUAACACGUGGGUAACCUGCCUGUAAGACUGGGAUAACUCCGGGAAACCGGGGCUAAUACCGGAUGGUUGUUUGAACCGCAUGGUUCAGACAUAAAAGGUGGCUUCGGCUACCACUUACAGAUGGACCCGCGGCGCAUUAGCUAGUUGGUGAGGUAACGGCUCACCAAGGCAACGAUGCGUAGCCGACCUGAGAGGGUGAUCGGCCACACUGGGACUGAGACGCAGCAGUAGGGAAUCUUCCGCAAUGGACGAAAGUCUGACGGAGCAACGCCGCGUGAGUGAUGAAGGUUUUCGGAUCGUAAAGCUCUGUUGUUAGGGAAGAACAAGUGCCGUUCAAAUAGGGCGGCACCUUGACGGUACCUAACCAGAAAGCCACGGCUAACUACGUGCCAGCAGCCGCGGUAAUACGUAGGUGGCAAGCGUUGUCCGGAAUUAUUGGGCGUAAAGGGCUCGCAGGCGGU
This 517-nucleotide ribosomal RNA is filed under the name Bacillus subtilis. RNAcentral's name for it is "bacterial SSU rRNA". It matches the Rfam family "Bacterial small subunit ribosomal RNA", at positions 57 to 579 of the family's 1533-position model. Lineage: Bacteria; Bacillati; Bacillota; Bacilli; Caryophanales; Bacillaceae. The record is from RNAcentral.